RNAcentral lists this ribosomal RNA (254 nucleotides) under uncultured bacterium. Its description in RNAcentral is "partial 16S ribosomal RNA". It matches the Rfam family "Bacterial small subunit ribosomal RNA", at positions 524 to 776 of the family's 1533-position model. The record is from RNAcentral.
UACGUAGGGGGCAAGCGUUGUCCGGAUUUAUUGGGCGUAAAGAGCUCGUAGGCGGUUCGGUAAGUCGGGUGUGAAACCUCCAGGCUCAACCUGGAGACGCCACCCGAUACUGCUGUGACUAGAGUCCGGUAGGGGAGCGUGGAAUUCCUGGUGUAGCGGUGAAAUGCGCAGAUAUCAGGAGGAACACCGAUGGCGAAGGCAGGUCUCUGGGCAUUAACUGACGCUGAGGAGCGAAAGCAUGGGGAGCGAACAGG